UAUGGGAAAAUCCUAUUAGAUUUUUCUCGAGGGAACCAGUGUGGCGCUAACUUCCGGGUUCCGGUACAAAAUGACGUCAUCCCUGCACCACUUUAUAAGACUCGCCUCUGUACGACGUUCACCUUAUGGAUAUAACGGAAUGUGGGCGUGGCUUCGUCUAGCCUGGAUGCGAAAGGGCAGGGCUUAACGACCGACUGAUGGAACGCUUGUCCAAUCAGCGAGCGGCAGCGUCAUGACGUCACGAUGAAGGUCAUCCCGGAAGUGGAAUUUAGUAACUAUCAGGAGCUGAAAUGGCGUAGCUUGUCUCUGUCGGCGAUGGACAACGGGCCUGGAUAAAGCGGACAAACCUGGCCACGAACCGCGCGGAGAUGGAGUUUAACCCAUGUCCUUUAUCAUCACACUGAAAAGCUAGUCAAGAAGAGACGCGAAGUCGUCCUGCCGCCUGGUAAGACGAAGAGUUCGACAUGCGUGAGCGUGAGACUACGGGGAAAGCGCCCACAGAUGAGAAGUGGGUCAGCAGCAUGCCGAAGCCUGUCCUACGCUCGCUUCCUUCAGAUCUGCUAAACAUCAUGCCCGGGUAGCAGUUCACGCACCAUCCAUCCAGGAGGAUGACAUCAUCGGUGGAGUCCAGGCCACUUUUAUUUCCUCUCAAGUUUUAAUUUAGUUGUUUUCCCCUCUUUUUCAUCCCAGGAGAAUGCUGAAUUGUUUACUUCACUAUUCCCUCCCCCACCCCACCCCUCCAAAACAACUAUAUCCAGUCAGCUAUAUAUUUAAACGCAUCCUGAUCGUGCUCGCUGACAUGGUAUUCAAGUCAUAUUGUUUCAUUUGUAUAUUGCUUAUAACAUUACAUAUAGUCACGAAGAAGCUUUACCUAGAUGAAAUCAUUCACGUUACAUACGAAGUCGUACAGUAUUGAAAAACGGAAAUCUCUGGACGUUUUCCUCGAAGCUUACAGAAUUUAGGAGGGAUGUAUAGUCUGGGUUAUAAUCCUAGAAGCUUUGGGAUUACGUUUAAGGAAGGUCAUCGUUUGCCUGUCGAAUAUUUUACGCACCGGCUCGUUGCGGCGAUGGACUUGGAACUCGCUCGAUUUCAGUGUUGGGUCGAUGGCCCGCGUUCACGCGCGAAGAUUUUCACCAGUCCGAAGGAAUUAGUUCGGAUCAUUCCGUUUAUAAACCGUAACAGAGCGGAGAAAAACAUGGUCCGAGUGCGACUGCUAGACGUCGCUCAGCGUUUCGUAUUUGCCCCGAGAUUCAGGAGCUCUGGUUGUUGGAAAAAAUAAUAAGAACAAUAAGAGGAAUAUCAAUAAUAAAACGCGGUACAAUGCCUUCAGUUUUUAUGAAUAACUGCACAAGAAAUGUAGGUUUUAUCAGUUUUACCCUGAAUUUGGAUAGAAGUGUCAUUCCGAUUGGCCUCGGUCGGUUUACCCGGUUGUAACGGAGCUCUCGGUCGGAUUAUUGACAGAUUAUUGGGCUGCAUGUAAACAUAGCCAUUUAUGAUGGAAAUCACAGAUUUAUUUACAUUUAUUCCAUUUCCUUUUUUUCCUCGCAAGAAGUUUUGGAAGUGUGUGUGUGUGUGUGUGUGUGUGUGUGUGUGUUUGAACUGUAGUGAUGAAAACCUAGGUUGUAUUAACCGUAACACAGGAGCUAUGUUUCCAUCCAAGUUGCGAAUUGAACUUGUGCGAAAAAAUCGGAACAUCGCGUAAACAUGUGCGAAUAAAGCACGUGUUCAGGAGAACAAAAUCGUCACUUCCGGGUGCGUCUCGUUCCCCGCCGCUUUCGCUCUCCUGAGCCGAUUAUCCAAUCACGUGAAUUGUUGAGGCAAAGUCACAUGACUUAAAAAAAAUAUAUAUAUAUAUAUUUAUUUUUGAUGUGCAUCGAGGAAUUCAUUCUGCUUCUAUUGAGGCCAAAAUGUUUGUUUUAUGUGCAUUUUGGGGAUUUUUAAAAAUGUAUUUAUGCGAUAUACUAAAAUUUGUAGAUGGUAACAUAGCUAAUGAUUGUUCAAUGGUAGUGCGAGCAUCACAUCGAACACACUUUCAUUCUCUCUUUCUCUGUCAUGAAACCGGAUCCACGCGGUUUGAAGGUAAAUGGCGUCUACAGACGUGGGCUGUGUGCAAUACGGUUGUCCGUCCUUUUUUUUUAUUAUUAUUAUUAUUAUUAUUAUUUCGGUGUGCGUCCUGUUUCGAGGUAAACAUGUAUAUUGUACAAACAAGUGACGAGUUGUUCGUGCGACAAACAACAAAAUCACCAAUGUCUUCCAUUAAAUGAUGUAUAGUUUCAUCCGCUUGUUAGGUAGCGGGAUCUGUCGUGCCAAUGUUAUAUGUGGCCAUGCAUGAGCGGACUCGAUGCUUGCGGAGUAGUUGUAGUGAAGUAUAUUAACGUUAACGCGUAUUAGCUAAUAGUUGAGCAGGUGACGGUUAGGCUAAUUAGCACUGUGUAGCUUUGAGAAUAGUGAGCUUUGGAGAAAACCCAUUUUGUUUUUGUUUUUUUCCGUUCUUGUCUUUGGAAAUUAGUCUAAUCUGAUCGUUUUCUUCUACUAGCGAAAAAUAUGACCUCUUUGGUGUAAAAAAGAAAAAAGAAGAAGCUAGUUCCCCCACCCCCUUGUUGAACCUUGUAUUUUUUUUUUUCUAUUAAUAAAAAAAAAAAAGUCGUUGGAAUUAUAUUUAAGAUAAAAUCAGAGCCUAAAGAGGACAAAUCACCUUCGACUGUUUUUAAACUUAUCGUUCUUAAUCUUCGCUAGCUAGCACAGGACGACCUGACUAGCGACUAGCUAACUCGGUUGCCUCAGUGCUCACGGCUGUAAAUUAGGAGCGGGUGAAGAAAAAUAAAAAAUGGUAGUAAUACAGGAAUUAAAAAAUUUAGAGUGGAUUUAAGGUAGCAUUGUCUUUCCUACGCGGUCGUGGAUGCGUCAGAGGGGUUAGCUUGGCUAGCUUUAACGUAGCACACACACACGAUCAAUUUUAGUCAGCGUGUAGUUUAGUCAGCUAGCGUCUAGCGCCGAUGUAGAUAGUUAAAUACCUCAGUGACCGGAAUGCAAAGUCUAUUUUUUUUUUUUUUGGAUUCCAUUGACAAAUAUGCAAGCCAUACUGCGCAUUAAGUUAGAUAUUUUAACGCGAGGUUCGAGCCGUGCCGAAAACAUGACGACGCCGCGUCGUUUAGUCGGAGCGUUCGGACAGUCGCGUGUGCAGUGGUCUUCGUUUUUGCUGUCGUUUCAACCGGAGGUGGAGCAACGGGACAGACGAACCCAGUCAUGUGCAAAGUCUCGAUAUAAAGCGAUAAAGUUUGCUAGAACGAAUCAUAACUAAGCGUCAUACCCGAUCGUUAUAUAUAUAUAUAGUAUGUUAUUAGCAUACAGCUACACCUCUGGAGCUUUUGCUUAAUCAUUAAUGAAUUUAUGAUUUGUCCACCCGUGUUGCCAGGUCAUCGUAUUCCACACACGAUUAGGCUUAACUGGUUUUGGUAACAAUUUUACUAUGACAGACUGACCACUGAUUCAGAACCGAAAGUCCCACUGUGCCAAGAAAAGGGGGUGUGGCCUAUGUCGUGUCAUUGCACCACUCGUUGUAGCUCCGUAUACUGGUCCAGAUGGUAUCGUAGCGAACGUCAGUUGUCGCGUCCCGUCGGGAGGAACAGGACCACAGAGAGAACGAGAAAAGCAACGCCGACACGGUCGCAACUCACUUUUCAACUUCCCACUGUGUGGUGUGUUCUGUUCGAGUCAAAAUGACCUGAAACGUACUUUUUACAAAAAUAAAUAGGUAAAGGAAUACGUUUACUUUUUGGUGCAUCUACUAACCCUUUAUAUUUAUAUCACACCAGUUAUAGUCCAGUCAUUUUAAUUGGAUAUUUACAGAAAUAAAACAUCCUCCACGUCUAAUUUGCGAUCGUUCGGUAUGGCCGAGCAGCGAGUGCUCUGAACGUUUUUGGCACGGACGGACCCUCGUCAUUUAGAAGCAAUAAUCUUAUUAUGCAUGAACUCUAUAGUGCCAGAAUGGUGUUUCGUGGAAUGACCUGUAGCAUAUUUCUAGCCGUGGUGUGUGUGUGUGUGUGUGUGUGUGUGUGUGUGUGUGUGUGUGUGUGUGUGUGUGUGUGUGUGUGUGUGUGUUAAGCCAUCAGUGGCUGUUGGUUUAUUACUAAAGCAAACUGGGUUCUCCAGGAGGCCAAAACUGAGCUCACGUGUUCAUUAAAAACCAAAAACGUUGUACGGGAACGUCGUCAUGAGAGAAAAAUGGCUGAGAACGUACUUCUUUAUGCACACUGCAUGAUUUUCUAUCACUACAUCAGCAGAAAACGCACAGAUCCCGAUUAUGCAGUCGGAAAGCAAUAGGAGAGAGGUGACGGUGACGCGGACGGCUCAUUUCAGACGCUACGGUACACUCUUCACACACACUGAACAUCGUUUAUCCAGUGAGCCUGUCGGUGUUUCUAUAUGGGAAUGUAGGGGGAGGGAUAAAUUAGCUACUGCAUGGUAGAAGUGGGUACCACGUGUGUUGUGCUGCAUGCAAUAAUGAAGCUUUUGCUCGGAGAAAAUAUAACGCAAAAAUGUGAAGUCAAGCGAGUGGACUGAUUGUGUUUGAUUUUUCCCUCAGCUCUGUUUAAAAAAAAAAAAAAAAAAAAAAAAACAGGUUGUGUAUCUAUACCCCCUGACCCCCCCCCCCUCCACACACACACUCAUCUGACUUGCUUUAUUAUAACCCAUUCUGUAUGUAACUUUUCUUUUUAUUUUGAAAUACAUCUCGUCCAGAGGGAUCUGCAGUAUUAUCUGUACAAACCCGUGACCUGAUGAUGGGAAUGAUCCUAAAGGAGGUGGACACUAAUAAAAUAAUUUCGUACAAGCUUGCUGCUAUACUCGGCUGAUGGAAAUAAAAGCAAAUUACAAAAAUGUACGCGCACAAUAAAUAAAUUAAUAAAUAAAUAAAUCACGCCCUCCGGUAUUAGCUUUAUGCAUAAAAUCCAGGCGGAAGGGUGAAAGCUCAGUGCCGAUCGGUUACCCGGUCUUCGCUAACAUCCAACCCGUGCGUUAUUUUAAGUGUUCAAACGGAUCACGUGACGACAGUAGACGCGUGACCUCGACGGGGUUAAAUUGUUAUUUCCAACUGGAAUCUAAUCCCCUGACUGCCAUGUCACAAUUUUGAACAAAGUUCUAUUGUUUUCUUCCCCAGCAUGUUGUAUUUUUUUUUUUUUGUGACAGGAUGGGAACACUGUACAGUAUGUUUGGUUAAAUCUAUGCACUACCGAUGCGCUAAGCAUGCUAAGAUAAACCUCUUGAUUUUGUACAAUUUAAAAAAAAGAAAUCUGUAUAUGAAAUUUAGCAAUAAAAACAGCAUGGUGCCAAUCUUA
Ictalurus furcatus (blue catfish) is the source of this 5336-nucleotide long non-coding RNA. RefSeq lists it as uncharacterized. The transcript has 3 exons. Lineage: Eukaryota; Metazoa; Chordata; Actinopteri; Siluriformes; Ictaluridae. The record is from RefSeq and is a predicted model, not a curated record.